CCCCUUUCAACCGGACGCGCGCCCGCCUAUAUUCAACGUGCCGGCGCAAGCCGGAUAUGGCGAUAAACGGCCAUCGGAAUAAACCCUUCGGACCCGGGGGCAGUACCCGGCGCCUCCACCCGAGCCCAGAUGCGCGCAUCGCCUGCGCGGCGCUGGGCUCCGGCGGGGGCGAAACAGGAUCGACGAGGGCGUAAAGGGUGGGCUUUCGCUCGGCAUGGUACCGCCGUCAUCGGACCGAACAUAUAGUUGCCAACGACAACUAUGCUCCGGUUGCUCAGGCCGCGUGAGCGGUUUGAUCUCUGGGAAAUAAGUCCUUGCGGGUAGCACUGUAAGGCGGGGUUCGGAGGCACCUGGCAACAGAAGCCUCCACU
RNAcentral lists this transfer-messenger RNA (371 nucleotides) under Ancylobacter sp. 3268. It matches the Rfam family "Alphaproteobacteria transfer-messenger RNA". From Rfam's summary of the family: Bacterial tmRNA, also known as 10Sa RNA or SsrA, is named for its dual tRNA and mRNA-like properties. Its role is to liberate the mRNA from a stalled ribosome. The record is from RNAcentral. Lineage: Bacteria; Pseudomonadati; Pseudomonadota; Alphaproteobacteria; Hyphomicrobiales; Xanthobacteraceae.